GGAGGCGUCGCAUAGCGGUCUAGUGCGGCUGCUUGGAGAGCAGCUAUGCCAGAAAUGGCAUCAGAGGUUCGAAUCCUCUCGCCUCCG
This 87-nucleotide transfer RNA is filed under the name Candidatus Harrisonbacteria bacterium RIFCSPHIGHO2_01_FULL_44_13. RNAcentral's name for it is "tRNA-Ser". It matches the Rfam family "tRNA". Rfam says of the family: Transfer RNA (tRNA) molecules are approximately 80 nucleotides in length. Their secondary structure includes four short double-helical elements and three loops (D, anti-codon, and T loops). Lineage: Bacteria; Candidatus Harrisoniibacteriota. RNAcentral also lists the same sequence under 1 other name. The record is from RNAcentral.